Molecule: long non-coding RNA, 165 nt
Organism: Euleptes europaea (tarantolino)
Lineage: Eukaryota; Metazoa; Chordata; Lepidosauria; Squamata; Sphaerodactylidae
Exons: 3
Source: RefSeq, a predicted model, not a curated record
AGGAGAGCCUCAAACACCACAACCUCGACCCCGUCCAAAUCCUGAACGACUUCCACAGUUACGUCGAGAUUGCUUUGGACCCAGCACAUUCGCACCCUCUGCAAAAUGAUCCCGUUUUCCAGCGAAGGCUCCGUCCCCCCAAAGUGCCCACCAUUACCCCCUGGA